Molecule: long non-coding RNA, 611 nt
Organism: Ornithorhynchus anatinus (platypus)
Lineage: Eukaryota; Metazoa; Chordata; Mammalia; Monotremata; Ornithorhynchidae
Exons: 3
Source: RefSeq, a predicted model, not a curated record
UUUUCCCACUAGGUCACCCUGGGAAGAAGUAUUUUAAAAAGAUAAACAGCAAGAAGAGGAGGGGACCUUCUUUUUUAAAUUCUGCAAUUUCCAGAUCUAAGUGAAGUCAGUUUCCAGAACUUUUCCCUGAACAAGGAGGACUGCACAUCGGAGAAGGAUCUAACUGCAAUCGGAAACUAGACUGUAAGCUCCUUGAGGGAAAGGACCGCGUCUAUUAACUCUAUUGUACUCUCUCGAGGGCUUAGUACAGUGUUCUGAGGGACUGAAUGGUUGGAAAAGCAGUCUUAUCAUCCACACAUUUCCUCUGAUGAAUUGUGGUAUAGAAGGGAAAAUCCACCAUUCAUCAGUCAACAAGACUGAUUGAGCAGUGUGCUGAGCCUUAGUCUGCUGAGAGACAUGAAGAGAAGAAUGACGUGAUCACUGCACUCCUCCGUUUCUCUGAUGUCUUUAUGUACAUUAAUGGAAUUUUAUUAGAACAGUGCUCUGCAUGUAGUAAGUGCUCAAUAAAUACCACUGAUGGAUCGACUGAUUGAUUGAACCCUGCCCCUACAAUCUAGUCAGGGUGUCGCUUUCCUUCCAAAUCCUCUCCUCCACUUUUUAAUCACAGGUAA